RNAcentral lists this unclassified non-coding RNA (25 nucleotides) under Mus musculus (house mouse). RNAcentral's name for it is "oocyte_clustered_small_RNA6684". The record is from RNAcentral. Lineage: Eukaryota; Metazoa; Chordata; Mammalia; Rodentia; Muridae.
UACAAGAAAAAGUAGCUAUGGCUGA